UCAGGGUUCGCGGGAGAGACUCUGCAGCGGUGCAAGCUAAAACCGCAAGAAGGCGCAACCGCCCGGAAACGCUCAGGCAAACGGACCGAGAACCUAUG
RNAcentral lists this non-coding RNA (98 nucleotides) under Acidithiobacillales bacterium. RNAcentral describes it as "Glycine sequence". It matches the Rfam family "Glycine riboswitch aptamer". Rfam says of the family: This family represents the bacterial glycine riboswitch. Glycine riboswitches usually consist of two metabolite-binding aptamers domains with similar structures in tandem. Lineage: Bacteria; Pseudomonadati; Pseudomonadota; Acidithiobacillia; Acidithiobacillales. The record is from RNAcentral.